Vicugna pacos (alpaca) is the source of this 2697-nucleotide non-coding RNA. The record is from RefSeq and is a predicted model, not a curated record. NCBI's taxonomy places the organism in Eukaryota, Metazoa, Chordata, Mammalia, Artiodactyla, Camelidae.
AAGCGAUUUAUAGCCAGGCCGGAAUGGAUUGGAAUCAGAUGGCAAAAACCCAGAUUAACCCCCUGGAUCCUGGUGGCCCUUGGUCAGUCUUUGCUAUUAAUGAUACUUUCAACCGAGUGAAUGCAUUCAAGAUUUUCCUUUGAAGGUAAAUAUGCAGCUCAGUCCCUGAUGUCUGCCUGUCGCAAAAAUGUGUGAAGGGAGACCAAAUGUCAAUAAAAUCUCCCUGCCUGCCUCAACCCACGACAUAAUCAGCUCCAAGGUAAAUAAAUGGAUGUUUGAAGCCUCAGCUGGGAAGGCUCCGAGGCUCAGGGGGACUUGAAGCCGGUGGCUGGAAUUGGGAAUCAUCUGAAGGCUCCUUCACCCACCUGUCUGGCACUUGGGCUGGGAAGACUCAAAGGCGAUCGGCCAGAUGCCUCCUACAGGGAGCCCGUGUGGCUUGGGCCUCCUCACAGCGUGGCAGCCUCAGAGCAGUCAGACUUCUUAUCCGGCAGCUCAGGGCUCCAGGUGCCAGCGCGUCAGGAACAGGCAGAAGCACGUGUGUGGAAGAUGGAUGGAGAGCGUCUGCCUGCAUCCACAGAGGAAAACACAUCCCGGCUGGCUCCGCAGCCCCUAGAGAAACAGGGCAGAGGCCGCCCCUGGGGGCCGGAUGCUGCGAGUCCUGGGGGCUUGGAGGCCAGGUCUCUCCUAAUAGCAUGCCCAGUCAGCCGGCACUUGCCCGCUUCCAAAGCCCCCUCCUAUCUGCCGAAGGCUUUCUGCUGUGGACACGGUCUCCAAGGGGACGAUGUGCUGCCUGUGGGGCAGAGGGGCAGGGAUGGGAGUGAGGCACACAAUGAAAGACUUACAGGGACUUUCCUUCUAGAAGCAAGGGAGCCUUUUCUUGGACUCCUGUCUCACGGCUGAUCUGACCCCAAGGUGGCUCUGCCGGACCAAGGCUUUUCCCGGGUGAGAUCAUGCAACAGGGCCAUGCUGUCCAUGCACAGCGGACAAGGCCUCGGGCCUCUCACCCCGUCAGACUUCCACAGCGGGCUCUUCCAGGCGCUGGCGAUUCUUGCAAACAUAGAUGAAUGUCACGAAAGGGAAAACUUUUCGAAAGAAAGGAAUCAAUCUCAUUUGGAAAGUAUAUUUAGCAAAAGGAAAGCAAACACUUCAGGAUGGAUUAACUUUCCAGUUUUACACUCAUUUAUCAAAUAUUUCUGGAGUGACAAGUACAGGCGAGGCACUGCCGUUGGCUUGGGGCCCCUGUCCCAACAGAAUUCAAGGGCUUUUCCCGGCUGGUAGGCAAUUUAUUGGAAAGUGACAGUCUUGGAAACCAUGCCUCACAGCCCUCCAACUUAAGGGAACCUAAAUGCAUAAGGGCCCCAGCUGCCCAGCUCUGGAAUCCAUCCCAGCAUUUGGGCUGAGGCUACACCUCCCACCGGCCGCCCCAGCCAAUGACCGAGCCAGGCGCCGCGCUCAGGAGAAACAGGACGCCUCUGACAGCUGACUUGGGUUUGAGGACAGCCUGCCGGCCUGGCUGAACUUUCCAGAGUCUGCUGGACAGUCUGGGAUGCUCCCGCCCACCUCCCUGCCCUCUCGCCUUCACUCAGGUCAGACCGCAUCACAGCCUUUCUGUUCUCCCAUCCUUUGCCAUUUCCCUCCCUAUUUCUCUCACAGGCAUUUCCCCUAAUAAAAAUCCUGGCACAUUUAAUUGUCUCCUGACACCUGCUUCUUGGAGGACCACUACUGCAGACGUAUUGCCGCGUCCUCUGCCUCCAUCUUCUGCACGGGCUUCCCAGACAGGACCCCCCCCCACCUCCCCACAUCGCGACUCUAGCUGAUGUGAAGCCCUUGCAGACACCUGAAUUGGCUCAUUGCUUAGGAGUCGCUUUAUAAUUUGGCAUCUCCCCAGUAGAUUCUAAGCUGUGUAAGAACUUACAAUAUCCUUAAGGCUCCUCACUUAGAUGUUUCUCAGAGGUGUUGCUGACACAUCGCAGGGAGGUCCUUGCCAUCAAGCUCUUAUGUCAUAUUUCAAGAUACCUCUGUGAUUUAGUAAUAAAAUUCACAAUUACUAUUGCACAAUGAGUCCACAGCCCGUUGCUAAGUUGUUUACAUGCAUUACCUCACUUAAUGCCUAACCGUCUCGGCACACACCCCCAUCACCCGCCCACCCAUCCAUGCAGAGGACGUCCUUUCUUCCAAACACAGUUCUAUGGCUUACUCUCACUUGGCAGCCCCUCCUCCUCUGCGAAUCCAAAUCAAGACAUUUGCAGGCAGAACACAAAGAUCUGAUCUUACAAAGUGUGAGCAUUUUCCAAGAGACAACUGAUACCCAGGUUGAGAAAUCCCAGGCACACGGCUUAGUAACAAAGUCCAGCUUUGCCGAGGCUUACAGACGAUAUAAUCAACUCCUCUUUUUAAUCCUACCCUGUUUGACAGCACACCGCACCUCAUACCACCACUGGCCAUUUCUUUCCUUCUGGUGUCUUGGCUUCUUGGUACUUGAAAAACCAGGCCUCUGGGCUCACAUCCAGGACACAUCCCAGGCAUCCCCCAACCCUUUGAGCUUGAUCCAUCCUCCCUGGCCCCCAACUUUGAGAAAUGUUCUCCUGUUCACUCUGGGAUGCACGUCUACAUACUCAACAGAAAGCCACGGGCUGGCUGGUCGGGAGACCUCACACAAGCUACUUGGCACCUGCGAGCCUCAAUUCCCUCGUCUGU